UACGGAGGAUGCAAGCGUUAUCCGGAAUGAUUGGGCGUAAAGCGUCCGCAGGUGGCAAUGUAAGUCUGCUGUUAAAGAGUCUAGCUCAACUAGAUAAAAGCAGUGGAAACUACAUAGCUAGAGUACGUUCGGGGCAGAGGGAAUUCCAGGUGUAGCGGUGAAAUGCGUAGAUAUCUGGAGGAAUACCGGUGGCGAAGGCGGCAUCCUGGACCGGCAUUGACGCUGAGGAGCGAAAGCUAGGGGAGCAAACGGG
This 253-nucleotide ribosomal RNA is filed under the name uncultured bacterium. RNAcentral describes it as "partial 16S ribosomal RNA". It matches the Rfam family "Bacterial small subunit ribosomal RNA", at positions 524 to 776 of the family's 1533-position model. The record is from RNAcentral.